Non-coding RNA from Stegodyphus mimosarum, 73 nucleotides. The record is from Rfam. NCBI's taxonomy places the organism in Eukaryota, Metazoa, Arthropoda, Arachnida, Araneae, Eresidae.
GCCUUCGUGCUGUAAUGGUCAGCACACUGAGCCGGUAUUUCAGAGGUCCGCGGUUCGAUUCCCGGCGAAGGCG